RNAcentral lists this long non-coding RNA (411 nucleotides) under Zea mays. RNAcentral's name for it is "long non-coding RNA NONZMAT002392". The record is from RNAcentral. Lineage: Eukaryota; Viridiplantae; Streptophyta; Magnoliopsida; Poales; Poaceae.
GUGUAGCCACUUCUUCUCUCCCUAAGGUUAUGCGGAUCCACGGCGUGCAGGAACUCCGGUGUGUAAUUGCGGCUUCUAGGUGACGAAUCGCUCCGGGCGUGUGUGUGAGAGUCAUUAAGGGGGUGCAAUGACCAGCACCAGUCGUUCACCGAGGUCCGCCCGAUGCAGUGCCCGUGAAGCGACGUCGGUGGCGAUGCACACAUUCUAGCCAAUUGGCGGUGGGAGCUAAGCCUUGUGACCGAGUUGAGCCCGCGAGGUAUACGAGGGGGAAGGAGAGGGUGCAACUUAUGUCGAAGGAGAAGGUCGGCCAGGGUCCCUUAACGGCCACAGAGAUUCACGGCACGCCCCCGCCACGUACGGUGAGGUCGUUGGGAGGGAGAGGACUGACAAUACAGGCCCACUGGAUAGAGG